UACGAAGGGGGCUAGCGUUGCUCGGAAUUACUGGGCGUAAAGGGCGCGUAGGCGGUUUGUACAGUCGGGCGUGAAAUUCCUGGGCUCAACCUGGGGGCUGCGCACGAGACGUAUGGACUAGAGUAGGGAAGAGGGUCGUGGAAUUCCCAGUGUAGAGGUGAAAUUCGUAGAUAUUGGGAAGAACACCGGUGGCGAAGGCGGCGACCUGGUCCUUGACUGACGCUGAGGCGCGAAAGCGUGGGGAGCAAACAGG
RNAcentral lists this ribosomal RNA (253 nucleotides) under uncultured bacterium. Its description in RNAcentral is "partial 16S ribosomal RNA". It matches the Rfam family "Bacterial small subunit ribosomal RNA", at positions 524 to 776 of the family's 1533-position model. The record is from RNAcentral.